RNAcentral lists this ribosomal RNA (433 nucleotides) under uncultured bacterium. Its description in RNAcentral is "partial 16S ribosomal RNA". It matches the Rfam family "Bacterial small subunit ribosomal RNA", at positions 29 to 507 of the family's 1533-position model. The record is from RNAcentral.
AGCGAACGCUGGCGGCAGGCCUAACACAUGCAAGUCGAACGGAUCCUUCGGGAUUAGUGGCGGACGGGUGAGUAACACGUGGGAACGUGCCCUUUGGUUCGGAACAACCCAGGGAAACUUGAGCUAAUACCGGAUGUGCCCUUCGGGGGAAAGAUUUAUCGCCAUUGGAGCGGCCCGCGUCUGAUUAGCUAGUUGGUGAGGUAACGGCCCACCAAGGCGACGAUCAGUAGCUGGUCUGAGAGGAUGAUCAGCCACACUGGGACUGAGACACGGCCCAGACUCCUACGGGAAGCAGCAGUGGGGAAUCUUGCGCAAUGGGCGAAAGCCUGACGCAGCCAUGCCGCGUGAAUGAUGAAGGUCUUAGGAUUGUAAAAUUCUUUCAGCGGGGACGAUAAUGACGGUACCCGCAGAAGAAGCUCCGGCUAACUUCGUG